Molecule: small nuclear RNA, 100 nt
Filed under: Amborella trichopoda
Lineage: Eukaryota; Viridiplantae; Streptophyta; Magnoliopsida; Amborellales; Amborellaceae
Source: RNAcentral
GGCUCUUCACAGAUAUUCGAUAAAAUUGGAGUGAUAUAGAGAAAAUUAGCAUGGCAUUUGUUCAAAGAUGACGCACAUAAAAUAAAAUAAAAAAUUGUUU